Molecule: long non-coding RNA, 778 nt
Organism: Trichomycterus rosablanca
Lineage: Eukaryota; Metazoa; Chordata; Actinopteri; Siluriformes; Trichomycteridae
Exons: 3
Source: RefSeq, a predicted model, not a curated record
UCAGAGAGAAAACGCGAGUUACAUUCCUUUAAUUCGUUUUAGUAAUUACUAAACAUAUUCCAUUAAAAUAACUAAGGUCAGGAGAGCAGAGAGAAAGCAGGGGCUCGCUAACCAAUACUAAAGGCUGUAUUAUUUCUGUUAUCAGGAUCAUGUCUCUGGGCUCGGUCAGGCCACACGACUUCAUCUACAUCACAGGCAAUAUUCUCCCUAUCUAGACAACGGAAAAAAAAUCCUUUUGCAUGCCGUAUCCAGGCUUGAAAAGAAUCCACUCUAAUGUCAUCACAGGCUUCAUCCAUUGACUGGAGUACAUUUUCCUGGAUAUGCUAAGAAGAAUUCCUCACAUGGGUUUAGGAAGAGAGAGUAUGCUGGAAGGCUUGGAUUUAUGAAAUGGAGGUUAUUGAUAAAUCACUCACAUAUGUUUUGACAACAGUGAAAGCUCACACUGUCCCAAACGACAACAUACACAGGAUGCUUUCUCAGCUCAGGUUCCCCGCUCAAGUCCAUGUUCUGAUACAGAAUUCUGAUCGGACUGCUCUUGUUUUUGGUCAUCCUCAUCUUUCUCCUCGCCACCACCUCCGACACACUCCCCUCUUCUUCUUCUAUUGUUGCCCUCCAUUGCUAAAGUCACAAUAGAGCUCAGAAACACACAUUUGAACUGACUUUUAUCCUGUUUACCUACUAAUUUUAACCCUUGUCACAAUAUUCUAAUUUUCUGAGAUACUGAAUUUGGGGUUUUCAUUAGUUAUCAGUUAUAAUCAUCAACAUGAAAAGAAAUAAA